RNAcentral lists this long non-coding RNA (1836 nucleotides) under Panax ginseng (ginseng). RNAcentral describes it as "long non-coding RNA (PGIN_LNC001755)". Lineage: Eukaryota; Viridiplantae; Streptophyta; Magnoliopsida; Apiales; Araliaceae. The record is from RNAcentral.
AGAAAAGCUUAUUUCUCUCCCAUAUACUCUCUCUAAAAAGCUUUCUCUAUCUCCUCUUACAAAAGUUCUGAUUAUUUGAGAAGAGAAAAUUGGUCUAAGCAAAUUGAGAUAAGUUGUUUGAUUUAUUUAUUUAAAUUAUCUCUUGCUUAUUUAUAUUUAUAGAUAUACGAAUAUAAAUUUUUCUACACAAUUCUAUAUAUCUAUAUUUCAACUAUUUAUCAAAUAAAAGGAUACUUGGGUGCCGCAAGGCUACGGAGAUAAACAUCUACGGAGAGGAAUCCAACCGUACGAUUCUUUAUAGUCUUCAGUAACCUUUUAUUGAUAUUAUUUAUAUAAAUAUCGUAAAAUAGAUACGACACUUGAUAGCUCAAAACAACACUGAGAUACUGCUCCAAAAAGAGUAGUCAUCCGAACCGGAUUUGAGAAUCGUAGUGAUCUAUUGAAAAUAUUUAUAUAAAUAUCAAUUGUGAAAAAUAUAAAUUUUGUCAUACUUAGACCCCGCAAGGCUACGGAGAUACACCUCUACCAAGAGGAAUUCGAACCGUAUGAUUCCUUAUAGUACUAAGUGACAUUAUCUAUAAAAGUUCACAUAAUAGAUAAAAUAUUCUUAUAUAUUAUUUGAGUUAAACAAUAAUAUUUGUUAUAUCAAGUAUUGCUUAACUGAUUUAUUUAUUAUACUUGAUAUCUGUCAUCACAAGUAUUUGUUCAUAAAUUUAUUUAUUCAUAAAAUACUUGUUGCAUAAUAUAAAAGUUAUUUAAACUUUUAUUUCACAAACUUAAGUUAAUAUAUCUGCUUAAUUAGAAGCAUAUUUGAUUCAAAACUUAAAAUAACUUAUUUGCUUACUCAGAAGCACUUUCACUCUAAAAAGUUAUUUAAACUUAAAGUGACUUUUCUUUACUCCAUAAAGAAUAAAUAAUUCUUUAUAAAUUUAUUUUAAAUUAUAUAUCUGCUUAAAUAGAAGCAUUUUUGAGUAAAAGCUAAAAUUGAUCUAUUUGCUUAUUCAAGAAGCACUUCUUACAUAAAAUAUAAAAGUUAUUUAAACUUUUAUAACAGAACAUAAUUUUCAUAUUUGAUCUAAGCACAAAUUACUAUCUGCUUACAAAGAAGCAUAUUUUCUCAAGUAUAAAAGUCUUUAAACUUUUAUAAAUACAUUUGCUCCUUAAUUGAUAUCUGCUUAUUUGAGAAGCAUCAAUCUGUACUAAAUUAUAUAUGAUUACUUAAGAAGCAUUCAUAUGUACUAAAUUCUUAUCUGCUUAUUUGAGAAGCAUCAAUCUGUACUAAAUUUUUAUCUGCUUAUUUGAGAAACACAUUGUUGUAAUAUCAUUUGUAAAAAGAGAAAAGGUCAGAGUUAGUUUAUUUUAUGUACCUGUGAGAAAGACGAGUAAUUCUUCGACCAAGACCAGAGUCUUAGAGAGGUCAGCGGGAAGUUGGGUCUCUAGUGUACUUGUGAGGUGAGGAAGAUGUUGUUGUUUCAAGACCAGAGCAUAGAUUAGAACUGAACUCAAAAGAAGGUACAACUAAACUUGAGGAGGGAGCAGGGAGCUUUGUAAGACCCCAACUUAUUAUAAAUAAAAUCGAAUUUCCUCUAAUUAUUAUUGUGAAUAAUAAGGUGUUAAUUUGAUAUAAUACUUUGGUUAUAGGUGAAAUGUGCAAAUUUUGCCAAAUAAGCAAGUGGUUAUAAAAUAUUCAUUGUUGUCGGGAAAUAUUCGUUUGGUCAUGGAAUAUUCUGUCUGUCGGGAAAUAUUCGUACGACGGCACAGCCAUUUGUGGGCCCCAUAAUAUAAUAACUGUCGGAUGAAGAAAAUGACAAGUUUGAGUUUUUAUAAAUAAUGGCG